RNAcentral lists this ribosomal RNA (286 nucleotides) under Staphylococcus pseudintermedius. RNAcentral describes it as "partial 23S ribosomal RNA". It matches the Rfam family "Bacterial large subunit ribosomal RNA", at positions 2640 to 2925 of the family's 2925-position model. The record is from RNAcentral. Lineage: Bacteria; Bacillati; Bacillota; Bacilli; Caryophanales; Staphylococcaceae.
AUCGGUCGUGAGCGUAGGAAAGUUGGGAGGGGCUGUCCUUAGUACGAGAAGACCGGGAUGGACAUACCUCUGGUGUACCAGUUGUCGUGCCAACGGCAUAGCUGGGUAGCUAUGUAUGGACGGGAUAAGUGCUGAAAGCAUCUAAGCAUGAAGCCCCCCUCGAGAUGAGAUUUCCCAACUUUGGUUAUAAGAUCCCUCAAAGAUGAUGAGGUGAAUAGGUUCGAGGUGGAAGCGUAGCGAUACGUGGAGCUGACGAAUACUAAUCGAUCGAAGACUUAAUCAACAU